This 22-nucleotide microRNA is filed under the name Ixodes ricinus (castor bean tick). Its description in RNAcentral is "iri-miR-X11b-3p". The record is from RNAcentral. Lineage: Eukaryota; Metazoa; Arthropoda; Arachnida; Ixodida; Ixodidae.
CACGUCGAGAUUUCAAGCCAUG